Molecule: long non-coding RNA, 211 nt
Filed under: Brassica napus (rape)
Lineage: Eukaryota; Viridiplantae; Streptophyta; Magnoliopsida; Brassicales; Brassicaceae
Description: long non-coding RNA (BNAP_LNC003866)
Source: RNAcentral
AAAAUUCAAAAAAUGACAAUCUUGCUUUAUGGCAUAGUUUCAUCUUGAACUAACAUAAAAUAAUGGUCAAAGAAGUUUGAAAUUUUUUUUGUGUCCGUUUCUCAAGAGAUUUCAUUGUGGUUGGUCCACUGAUUUAUGCAAUAUAUGAAUUUUUAUUAAAUUAACUGUUAAAACUUAAAGGCAAAGGCAAUACUCAUGUACUAGGAAAGGG